ACGGGUGAGUAUAAUGUGGGAAUCUGCCUUUUGGUUUGGAAUAACACGGGGAAACUUGUGCUAAUACCGAAUAAGCCCUUACGGGGAAAGUUUUAACGCCGAAAGAUGAGCCCGCACUUGAUUAGCUAGUUGGUAAGGUAAAAGCUUACCAAGGCAACGAUCAAUAGCUGUUCUUAGAGGAAGACCAGCCACAUUGGGACUGAGACACGGCCCAGACUCCUACGGGAGGCAGCAGUGGGGAAUCUUGCACAAUGGGGGAAACCCUGAUGCAGCGAUGCCGCGUGAGUGAAGAAGGCCCUUGGGUUGUAAAACUCUUUCGUCGGGGAAGAAAAUGACUGUACCCGAAUAAGAAGGUCCGGCUAACUUCGUGCCAGCAGCCGCGGUAAUACGAAGGGACCUAGCGUAGUUCGGAAUUACUGGGCUUAAAGAGCUCGUAGGUGGUUAAAAAAGUUGAUGGUGAAAUCCCAAGGCUCAACCUUGGAACUGCCAUCAAAACUUUUCAGCUAGAGUGUGAUAGAGGUAAGUGGAAUUUCUAGUGUAGAGGUGAAAUUCGUAGAUAUUAGAAAGGACACCAAAUGCGAAGGCAACUUACUGGGUCACUACUGACACUGAGGAGCGAAAGCAUGGGUAGCGAAGAGGAUUAGAUACCCUCGUAGUCCAUGCCGUAAACGAUGUGUGCUAGACGUUGGAAAUAUAUUUUUCAGUGUCGCAGCGAAAGCA
RNAcentral lists this ribosomal RNA (720 nucleotides) under uncultured Pelagibacterales bacterium. RNAcentral's name for it is "bacterial SSU rRNA". It matches the Rfam family "Bacterial small subunit ribosomal RNA", at positions 102 to 859 of the family's 1533-position model. The record is from RNAcentral. Lineage: Bacteria; Pseudomonadati; Pseudomonadota; Alphaproteobacteria; Candidatus Pelagibacterales.